This is a long non-coding RNA of Solanum verrucosum, 298 nucleotides long. RefSeq lists it as uncharacterized. The record is from RefSeq and is a predicted model, not a curated record. NCBI's taxonomy places the organism in Eukaryota, Viridiplantae, Streptophyta, Magnoliopsida, Solanales, Solanaceae. The transcript has 4 exons.
UUUUUUUUUCUAUACAAUUCAAUAUCCUCCUUCAACACGAUUCAAUUUCGUCGUUAGAUUCCAAAUCUAAAAUUAACACGGAAAAAUAGUACAAAAUCCUCUCUGAGAAUCCAGAAAACCCUUUAAUUCUUGAUUUUCAGGUAUUAGUUGACUGUGUUUGGACUUUUCACUUUUGUGAGGUUGAGGAGGAGGAGGAGGAGGUAUUAGUUGACUGUGUUUGGACUUUUCACUUUUGUGAGGUUGAGGUUGGGGAGGAGGAGGAGGUAUUAGUUGACUGUGUUUGGACUUUUCACUUUUG